RNAcentral lists this ribosomal RNA (170 nucleotides) under Marinospirillum sp. RNAcentral describes it as "partial 23S ribosomal RNA". It matches the Rfam family "Bacterial large subunit ribosomal RNA", at positions 2761 to 2925 of the family's 2925-position model. Lineage: Bacteria; Pseudomonadati; Pseudomonadota; Gammaproteobacteria; Oceanospirillales; Oceanospirillaceae. The record is from RNAcentral.
GGGAUAACCGCUGAAGGCAUCUAAGCGGGAAGCCCCCUUCAAGAUAAGGUCUCCCUGAGGACUUGAUCCUCCUAAAGGGCCCUUGAAGACCACAAGGUUGAUAGGUCGGAUGUGGAAGCGCAGCAAUGCGUUGAGCUAACCGAUACUAAUGACCCGUGAGGCUUGACCAU